GUGUAGUCCUCAUCAUAGCAGUAGUAGAGCCAAUACAUCAAGGAGUGCCUGGCAUGUGAAAUGAGCGGGCAGUCUUGAACUAGAAAGCAUGCGCGGCUAGAGUCAUGCCAUGCGAAACGGUAAGUUCAUAUCAUUAGGAGCUAGCUAGAUGUGCAUGUGCACGUGUGCGGUGCCUGAGAUGCAGUCCGGGUCAAUGGCCGUGAAGUGAAUUUGUGGCAGGAGAAUAGGUCCUAGUGACUGUACUCUGCAUGGCUAUCUGCAUGUCGUUAUGCAUGCAAGGAGGUGCGGUGUGAGACUCGCUAGCCAUGGCUGUUAGCUAGGUGAGUGGUUAGUAUUUGCUUGGUCAUGAGUGGGUCAUCGUUGGUCUAUAUGUACUCAGUUCCAUUCAUUUGUAAAACAAGAGAGAAGGCAACAAUGUGUGUGUUUUGCUUCUCUGUAUUAUUCCUUGUCUCUGGUGUGUAUGUGCGUGAGGCACCAUUUCUGUGAGAGAUAGGAAUGGAAUUGAGUGAUUCAGUUCCAACAAUCAACACUAACAAUGUGAUCUGAACCGCUCCAAAAAAAAA
Long non-coding RNA from Panicum virgatum (switchgrass), 563 nucleotides. RefSeq lists it as uncharacterized. The transcript has 2 exons. The record is from RefSeq and is a predicted model, not a curated record. NCBI's taxonomy places the organism in Eukaryota, Viridiplantae, Streptophyta, Magnoliopsida, Poales, Poaceae.